GACGAACGCUGGCGGCGUGCUUAACACAUGCAAGUCGAACGGAAAGGCCCUGCUUUUGUGUUUUGCUCGAGUUGCGAACGGGUGAGUAACACGUGAGUAACCUGCCCUUGACUUUGUGAUAACUUCAGGAAACUGGGGCUAAUACCUUAUAGGAGCUCCUGCUUCAUGGUGGGGGUUGGAAAGUUUCGGCGGUUGGGGAUGGACUCGCGGCUUAUCAGCUUGUUGGUGGGGUAGUGUCUUACCAAGGCUUUGACGGGUAGCCGGCCUGCGAGGGUGACCGGCCCCAUUGGGACUGAGAUACGGCCAAGACUCCUACGGGAGGCAGAAGUGGGGAAUAUUGCACAAUGGGCGGAAGCCUGAUGCAGCAACGCCGCGUGCGGGAUGACGGCAUUCGGGUUGUAAACCGCUUUCGCCUGUGACGAAGCGUGAGUGACGGUAAUGGGUAAAGAAGCACCGGCUAACUACGUG
Molecule: ribosomal RNA, 468 nt
Filed under: uncultured bacterium
Lineage: Bacteria
Description: partial 16S ribosomal RNA
Rfam family: Bacterial small subunit ribosomal RNA
Source: RNAcentral